AUUGAACGCUGGCGGCAGGCCUAACACAUGCAAGUCGAGCGGAUGAAGGGAGCUUGCUCCUGGAUUCAGCGGCGGACGGGUGAGUAAUGCCUAGGAAUCUGCCUGGUAGUGGGGGAUAACGUCCGGAAACGGGCGCUAAUACCGCAUACGUCCUGAGGGAGAAAGUGGGGGAUCUUCGGACCUCACGCUAUCAGAUGAGCCUAGGUCGGAUUAGCUAGUUGGUGGGGUAAGGGCCUACCAAGGCGACGAUCCGUAACUGGUCUGAGAGGAUGAUCAGUCACACUGGAACUGAGACACGGUCCAGACUCCUACGGGAGGCAGCAGUGGGGAAUAUUGGACAAUGGGCGAAAGCCUGAUCCAGCCAUGCCGCGUGUGUGAAGAAGGUCUUCGGAUUGUAAAGCACUUUAAGUUGGGAGGAAGGGCAGUAAGUUAAUACCUUGCUGUUUUGACGUUACCAACAAAAUAAGCACCGGCUAACUUCGUG
Molecule: ribosomal RNA, 484 nt
Filed under: uncultured bacterium
Lineage: Bacteria
Description: partial 16S ribosomal RNA
Rfam family: Bacterial small subunit ribosomal RNA
Source: RNAcentral